This 676-nucleotide ribosomal RNA is filed under the name Triticum aestivum (bread wheat). RNAcentral describes it as "partial small subunit ribosomal RNA". The record is from RNAcentral. Lineage: Eukaryota; Viridiplantae; Streptophyta; Magnoliopsida; Poales; Poaceae.
GGCCACUAGAUUCUGCAGUUGCCGCGCUCCUGCAUCUGAGCCCGCCGCUGCUGAGCAGCGCUCCUCCCCCCACCCUGCAGCUCUUCCAACCAGCCACCAUCACCAUCUCAGACGACUCCCUGGCGCCGGAUCUGCCGGCUGUGGAGCAAGUGCAGGCCUCUGACGGCCCGCCUGCGGAGGAGGCCCCGAGGGAGACGGUCGAUGUGGCCCCCGUUGCCCCGGCUGCCUGCCCCCGCCGUAGCUCACGCAUCUAGAAGAUGUACGACGGGGUCUUCCUGGGGUCCGUCGAGCGCGCCUCCAAGCACAAGGCCUCGUCCAGCCCGUCUGACAGCGGGGCAGCCCGGCGCCGCUCGCCUGGCCGUAAUCGGGGAAAGACCACGAAGGCCGCCGACGUCCUCGAGCUCCCCCUCCGCGAUACGUCAAGACCGCUCACCCGUGGCAAGGCCAAGCUCCUUGCUCGCUGCUGCGAUUUGAAUGAAGCGCUGGUCUUCGCAGAUGCCUCCCCCCUGCCGAAUCGGGUGAGGCUUCUGCCUCCUCUGAGUCCAAUGGAUCAACCCAUGGAUAGUUGCCCUGUUGGAGAUGUCUCUGCUCAGCUUCUUUAUUGCUAUAGUUUGCCAGUAGCUUGCGUCUGUUGUGGCCUGAAUCUGCAUUUUCCUAGUAGUCUGCAUGUAGUAGC